This 276-nucleotide ribosomal RNA is filed under the name Paiwana pingtung. RNAcentral describes it as "partial 12S ribosomal RNA". Lineage: Eukaryota; Metazoa; Arthropoda; Arachnida; Araneae; Pholcidae. The record is from RNAcentral.
AUACUGGCGGUCUUUAUAAAUUAGAGAAACUCGCUUUAUAAUCGUAAACACCCGAUAAAUUUUACUUUAUAUAUUUAGCUUAUAUACCGCCGUAUAGAUUAAAUCCUUCAUAAACCACAAAAUCAAAUUGAUCAAAAAUCAGGUCAAGGUGUAGCUUACGAUAAAGAAAAAGUAAGUUACACUAAAAACAAUUUAAGAAAAAAAAUUUAAAAUAGAAAAAGAAUUUAUUUGUACAACUUGAUUAAAACCCAAUAUAGAAUUAAAAUAUAAAGACGC